CUGAAACACAUACCACGAAAUUCUAUUAACAUUUAGAGAAUUUUCACUGACAAUUUCAAAGCCAGUGAGGAAAAAGAGGAAAACAUUGUGAUCAAAUAUACUUCUGUUUGUUUGGUUUUCCUCCUGAUUAGUCUGAGAGACAAGGUCAAGCAGAGAGGUAAAAUCAGACAGAAUCAAACCGCUGGAAUAAGCCUCAGUUUGUGGGAGCAGGAUGCUGUAAGACUCUUCCUAGUUGACAGUUGUUCUGUAAGCCAAACAAAUGAGAGGAGGAUGAUCUACUUUACACUUACUACUGCAAAUAACUGACUGUAUUGCACUGUACAGCUGACUGUACAGCUCCUUGGUGAAUAACACAGACAUAUGAGUUGAUUCAUCCUCACACACAGAAAUAUUUUCUCAUCUGAUGGAAUAUGUCAUCAUAUGUUCAAAGAUGGCAAUGGAAUGUGAAAUGAGAGAAAUAUGAAACAAACAAAAAGACUGAUGCAGAUAAUUCACAUGGCAGUAUUCGGGGAAGGAAAGAAAAGAAGAGAUGGUCAUGAUGUGGGAAGAUGUAAGAGGCACAGGAACACACAACAGAUAUUCAUAAGAAAUUGCUGCUUAUGGAAUUGCUUGCUUGUUGUUAACCUUCUUGUCAGUACCUUAUUUUUACGAGGGCAUUAUAAUGCAAUUCAUCUGAGACCUUGCUUCUCUACUGCCAUGGUACCACCCCCAAAGAUGUCACAUUUUCUGUAUCUGAUACAUAGGAUUUGGUUUCAUUUCUUCUUAGUA
RNAcentral lists this long non-coding RNA (768 nucleotides) under Numida meleagris (helmeted guineafowl). Its description in RNAcentral is "lncRNA (ENSNMEG00000007110.1)". Lineage: Eukaryota; Metazoa; Chordata; Aves; Galliformes; Numididae. The record is from RNAcentral.